GACGAACGCUGGCGGCGUGCUUAACACAUGCAAGUCGAACGGAAAGGCCCCUUUGGGGUUCCUCGAGUGGCGAACGGGUGAGUAACACGUGAGUAACCUGCCCUUUACUUCGGGAUAACUUCAGGAAACUGGGGCUAAUACCGGAUAGGAAUCCUUGCUGCAUGGUGGGGGUUGGAAAGCUUCUGCGGUUUUGGAUGGACUCGCGGCUUAUCAGCUUGUUGGUGGGGUAGUGGCUUACCAAGGCUUUGACGGGUAGCCGGCCUGAGAGGGCGACCGGCCACAUUGGGACUGAGAGACGGCCCAGACUCCUACGGGAGGCAGAAGUGGGGAAUAUUGAACAAUGGGCGGAAGCCGGAUGCAGCAACGCCGCGGGCGGGAUGACGGCCUUCGGGUUGUAAACCGCUUUCAGCAGGGGCGAAGCUUGUGGUGACGGUACCUGCAGAAGAAGCACCGGCUAACUACGUG
Molecule: ribosomal RNA, 465 nt
Filed under: uncultured bacterium
Lineage: Bacteria
Description: partial 16S ribosomal RNA
Rfam family: Bacterial small subunit ribosomal RNA
Source: RNAcentral